RNAcentral lists this unclassified non-coding RNA (1389 nucleotides) under uncultured fungus. RNAcentral describes it as "sequence contains 18S rRNA gene, ITS1, 5.8S rRNA gene, ITS2, 28S rRNA gene". The stretch from base 452 to 1389 matches the Rfam family "Eukaryotic large subunit ribosomal RNA", at positions 1 to 961 of the family's 3401-position model. Lineage: Eukaryota; Fungi. The record is from RNAcentral.
GGAAGGAUCAUUACUGAGAAUGCUCUCCGGAGCCCUCAAACCUUGCGUAUUUAUCUUGUACUUGCGGGUGCGGCGUCGCAAGACGUCCCCCGCGAGGAUUCAAACUGUUUGACUGUCGUCAGAUUCUUACAAAAGAAAACAACUUUCAACAAUGGAUCUCUUGGCUCCGGCAUCGAUGAAGAACGCAGCGAAAUGCGAUAGCUAGUGUGAAUUGCAGAUUUUAGUGAAUCAUCGAGUCUUUGAACGCACAUUGCGCCCUUUGGUAUUCCUCAGGGCAUGCCUAUUCGAGCGUCGUUUCGACCCAGCGCAAGCUGUUUUGAAAGCUCCCGCCCGGGACUUUUUAAAAUCAUCGGCGGCAGCAGCGAGCCAAACGCAGCAGAUUGCGCGCACCUCGCGGCCACCGCCGUUAAACCCCUUGGCCACGCUUCGGCGGCGCCUCGGAUUCUACGCUCGACCUCGAAUUAGGUAGGGAUACCCGCUGAACUUAAGCAUAUCAAUAAGCGGAGGAAAAGAAACCAACAAGGAUUGCCUCAGUAACGGCGAGUGAAGCGGCAACAGCUCAAAUUUGAAAUCUGGCUCUUUCAGGGCCCGAAUUGUAAUUUGCAGAGGAUGCUUCGGCGUCGGCGCCACCCAAAGUUCCUUGGAACGGGAUGUCAUAGAGGGUGAGAGCCCCGUGUCCGGGUGGAUGCCUUCGCCAUGUGAAGCUCCUUCGACGAGUCGAGUUGUUUGGGAAUGCAGCUCAAAACGGGAGGUAAAUUUCUUCCAAAGCUAAAUACCGGCUGGAGACCGAUAGUGCACAAGUAGAGUGAUCGAAAGAUGAAAAGCACUUUGGAAAGAGAGUUAAACAGCGCGUGAAAUUGUUGAAAGGGAAGCGCUUGCUGCCAGACUCGCCCGUCGUUGCUCGACAGGACUUUUGCCCUGUUCACUCUUCGGCGGGCGGGCCAGCAUCGGCUCGGGCGGCUGGAUAAAGGCUGCGGGAAUGUGGCUCUUCGGAGUGUUAUAGCCCGCGGUGGAAUGCAGCCAGCCUGGGCCGAGGACUGCGCAUCUGCUUGGAUGCUGGCGUAAUGGCCGCAAGCGGCCCGUCUUGAAACACGGACCAAGGAGUCUAACAUUCGUGCGAGUGUUCGGGUGGAAAACCCGUGCGCGCAAUGAAAGUGAACGUAGGUGGGAGCCCGCAAGGGUGCACCAUCGACCGAUCCCGACGUCUUCAGAAGGAUUUGAGUACGAGCACGGAUGUUGGGACCCGAAAGAUGGUGAACUAUGCCUAAGCAGGGCGAAGCCAGAGGAAACUCUGGUGGAGGCUCGCAGCGGUUCUGACGUGCAAAUCGAUCGUCGAAUUUGGGUAUAGGGGCGAAAGACUAAUCGAACCAUCUAGUAGCUGGUUCCUGC